AAAUUGAAGAGUUUGAUCAUGGCUCAGAUUGAACGCUGGCGGCAGGCCUAACACAUGCAAGUCGAACGGUAACAGGAAGCAGCUUGCUGCUUCGCUGACGAGUGGCGGACGGGUGAGUAAUGUCUGGGAAACUGCCUGGUGGAGGGGGAUAACUACUGGAAACGGUAGCUAAUACCGCAUAA
RNAcentral lists this ribosomal RNA (182 nucleotides) under Escherichia coli. RNAcentral describes it as "partial 16S ribosomal RNA". It matches the Rfam family "Bacterial small subunit ribosomal RNA", at positions 1 to 176 of the family's 1533-position model. Lineage: Bacteria; Pseudomonadati; Pseudomonadota; Gammaproteobacteria; Enterobacterales; Enterobacteriaceae. The record is from RNAcentral.